RNAcentral lists this ribosomal RNA (418 nucleotides) under uncultured eukaryote. Its description in RNAcentral is "bacterial SSU rRNA". It matches the Rfam family "Eukaryotic small subunit ribosomal RNA", at positions 592 to 1017 of the family's 1831-position model. The record is from RNAcentral.
CAAUAGCGUAUAUUAAAGUUGUUGCAGUUAAAAGCUCGUAGUUGGAUUUCGGAGUGGGCCAGUUGGUCCGCCGCAAGGUGUGUUACUGACUGGUUUGCUCUUCUUCGCAAAGACUGCGUGUGCCCUUAAAUGAGUGUGCGUAGGAUUUACGACGUUUACUUUGAAAAAAUUAAAGUGUUCAAAGCAGGCAAUCGCUUGAAUACAUUAGCAUGGAAUAAUAGUAUAGGACUUUGAUCUUAUUUGUUGGUUUUAAAGAUCAAAGUAAUGAUUGAUAGGGACAGUUGGGGGGCAUCAGUAUUCUGAAGCGAGAGGUGAAAUUCUUGGACCUUCGGAAGACUAACAACUGCGAAAGCAUUUGCCAAGGAUGUUCUCUUUAAUCAAGAACGAAAGUUAGGGGAUCGAAGACGAUUAGAUACCG